CGGGGGGAGCAAGCGUUGUUCGGAUUUACUGGGCGUAAAGGGCGCGUAGGCGGUCAGCACAAGUCAGUUGUGAAAUCUCCGGGCUUAACUCGGAAAGGUCAACUGAUACUGUGCGACUAGAGUGCAGAAGGGGCAACUGGAAUUCUCGGUGUGGCGGUGAAAUGCGUAGAUAUCGAGAGGAACACCUGCGGCGAAGGCGGGUUGCUGGGCUGACACUGACGCUGAGGCGCGAAAGCCAGGGGAGCGAACGGGAUUAGAUACCCCGGUAGUCCUGGCCUUAAACGAUGGAUGCUUGGUGUCUGGAGUUAUAUAGUCUCCGGGUGCCGCAGCUAACGCGUUAAGCAUCCCGCCUGGGGAGUACGGUCGCAAGACUG
RNAcentral lists this ribosomal RNA (374 nucleotides) under uncultured organism. Its description in RNAcentral is "bacterial SSU rRNA". It matches the Rfam family "Bacterial small subunit ribosomal RNA", at positions 526 to 896 of the family's 1533-position model. The record is from RNAcentral.